Molecule: long non-coding RNA, 2570 nt
Filed under: Nicotiana tabacum (common tobacco)
Lineage: Eukaryota; Viridiplantae; Streptophyta; Magnoliopsida; Solanales; Solanaceae
Description: long non-coding RNA (NTAB_LNC014511)
Source: RNAcentral
CAACAAAGAAUCAUUUUUCAGACAAUUGAAAUAAUCAAUUACCCAACAGAUUACAAUACUUAGUAAACCUAAACUAUAAGAUUACCCACAAGAGAAAUUAUUGUGAAUACACCUUGCAAGAGUUUGAAUCAACAAGUUGGAAAUACAUGCUUCUCACAAUUCUUAAAUAUUCAAAGAUAAGCUAAACUAGAAAUGACCUCAUCAUAUAUUAUUUAUAAUAGGUCCAAAUAAGGCAAGAAAGAUAUAAGUACCCCUAAUGGGUCUAACUACUAUGCCCACAUGGGAAAUCUUAUAACCCAAGUCUGCAAUCAUUGGAAAACAUGGCCCAUGUCCACAUACUUGCAUCCAAGUCAUCAAGGGAGCACACAUGUGCGCCUACAUCUACGUAGGCAUGGCCUUCCACGUGGGCAUAGGGGCAUAUGCUACGACUUCAUCCACGUAGCCUACGUGGUCUCCAUGCUCCUCCAAGACCUUCACCCUCAACACAUUGUAUGCCUUCAAGAGCUUUCCACAAUUGUCUUCCAAUGCUUCCAAGAUAUCCUAAUUCUUGGUGAAGAGGUGCAAAUCCCUUAGUUCCUUAGAUUGAGAUAUUGUGAAUGACCUAAAUGUCAUUGGUGUUCCUUGAGGUGUAUCAUUCUCCCCUUCUUGAUAAGCAUUUUCCUCAAAUGCAGAUCAUCAUCAUUACCUACAACACAAGAAAGCAAGUCACUAAUAUUGAAAAAAUUAUGAACUUGAUACUUGAUAACUAGGGAUUCUAGCCUAUUUUAUGCUCCUUUUGCUUAGGUUUGGAUUAAAAGUGUGUAUAAGUAUUCCCGUAAGCUAACUUAUUGUGCUUGUUUGCAGUGUUUGGUAAAAAAAGAGACAAGAAAGUCAAAACCAGCUCAUAAAGGAGUAAAACCUUCAGAAGUUCAAAGGUGAGUCAAAAAGGCGCUGACAACAGAGAAACAGACGCGGAUGCGGAGGGUCCACCGCUGAAGCGGUCUUGAUUAUGCUCCCAGCGGUGGCAAGGUUCAGAGAGUUAUAUUUUGGGCUUGGCAGUCACCGCUGUAACACCUCCUUUUUCCUACCCCGGAAGGGUAUAAGGGAGUUUUUUCCAACUUAAAGUGACAAUCGAAACAGGAUUGUUUAUUUAUUUUUCAGAGUCGCCACUUGGGAUAAUUUAUGGUGUCCCAAGUCACCGGUUUAAAUCCCGAAUCGAGGAAAAAUUGACUCAAUUUUACAGUCCGCGAACACAGAAAUCCGGGUAAGAAAUUUUGUUAAUCCGGGAGAAGGUGUUAGGCAUGCCCGAGUUCCGUGGUUUUAGCACGGUUGCUCAACUAUUAUUAUUGGCAUAAUUAUCUGAUGUAAUUAUACAUUUAAAACCUAUGUGCAUUUUUUAACUUUCUAACCGCUUUUAGUAUUUCAGGAAAAUUAAAAGGUUAUUUAAAAUAAAUCGUAAGCCAUGCUACAUGAAAUGCACUCGCGGUUCACGACACGUUCUAUUUAACCUUGUUGGAAAUUAGUAUCGGGUCACAUGAAAUGCACACCCGAAUUGAGAUUACGUAUCACAACUAUGUCACGGGAACCAUACCCGUAGCUAUGAUUAUUUAUUAUUAAUAAUGUCCAAAGUAUAAGCUAAAUUAUUGAGUCUUCAUCAGUAGGCUAUUAUAGCAAUUAAGUAAAAAGAAAAAGGUCACUGCUCAUUAUUCAAAUGACAGUAACAACUCAUUUAUAAGAUUCAACGACAUCUUUUAAUGAUUUAAUCAUAUUUAACUAUAUGAAAGGCUAAUUAUAAAGGGGAAAACAAAACAAUCAACAAAACAAAGAAAGAAUGAAGACAACAGUAAAUGACAAAGAAACUAACGCAACAAGAAUCAACAAACAAACUUUCAUCAGUUUUCUUCCAUCAUCAAAAAUUAUCAAAAUUUCAUAAGCACAAGGUAACGCUAGAACUAAAAAUCCGUGAAAAUCGAUAAAAAUCAGUUUCAAAAUAUAACCAAACAAAAUUAACAAGGCAACAUAACAACAAAUACAAUGAUUUCAAGCUAUUAAAUAAAGCGGUAAAAACAAUAGAGACGAACCUUAAGGAUUGGAUCUAUAUAUAAUUACUUGAAAAAAAUUCCAACCGCGUACAAAUAUUGAAAAUGAAUCGGCAAUCAAACUUGAACAGUAGCCACAACAACACCGGAAGACUCGAACAGAACCGGUGACUCGAUACCUCAACGACCAUACAAAAAUGACCUCCGUUAAACCUCAUUGCUGGGCCAUUUGGAGUUGUUGUUUAGUGCAAAGAACUCCUAUUUUUACUAGUUUUCAGGGGUAUAUGUGCGUGAGAGGCUCUUGGAAAUUGGGAAUUGGGUAAGGUCGAUUUCUGUUUUUGAAGUUGGGGUUUACGACCAAUUUUUUUCCCUUUUUUAUCCAGAGGUUGGGCGUUCUCUGCUUAGUGGCUAAUGAUGGAGUUCUUCUGCUAAAGAAGAAUGACCUGGUAGGGGGGUCUCCUAUGUCUCUGCGGUGGAUCAGCCUUUUCCCUUAGGUCUUAGAGUCUAGUCUAGGUCUAAUGUGUAUUUUUGUGUAUUCUCUUUUUGCUGAUU